UUUUAUCUGUGCGAUUCAGAUUAUACUGAUAAUUAUAUUCUUACUUGUUUUAAUUUAAAUUAUAUG
Molecule: transfer RNA, 66 nt
Filed under: Lyriothemis pachygastra
Lineage: Eukaryota; Metazoa; Arthropoda; Insecta; Odonata; Libellulidae
Description: tRNA-Leu
Source: RNAcentral